AUGAACGCUAGCUACAGGCUUAACACAUGCAAGUCGGAGGGGCAGCAUGAACUUAGCUUGCUAAGUUUGAUGGCGACCGGCGCGACGGGUGAAGUAACACGUAUCCAACCUGCCGAUGACUCGGGGAUAGCCUUUCGAAAGAAAGAUUAAUACAAGAUGGCAUCAUGAGUCCGCAUGUUCACAUGAUUAAAGGUAUUCCGGUAGACGAUGGGGAUGCGUUCCAUUAGAUAGUAGGCGGGGUAACGGCCCACCUAGUCUUCGAUGGAUAGGGGUUCUGAGAGGAAGGUCCCCCACAUUGGAACUGAGACACGGUCCAAACUCCUACGGGAGGCAGCAGUGAGGAAUAUUGGUCAAUGGGCGAGAGCCUGAACCAGCCAAGUAGCGUGAAGGAUGACUGCCCUAUGGGUUGUAAACUUCUUUUAUAAAGGAAUAAAGUCGGGUAUGCAUACCCGUUUGCAUGUACUUUAUGAAUAAGGAUCGGCUAACUCCGUG
RNAcentral lists this ribosomal RNA (492 nucleotides) under uncultured bacterium. Its description in RNAcentral is "bacterial SSU rRNA". It matches the Rfam family "Bacterial small subunit ribosomal RNA", at positions 29 to 507 of the family's 1533-position model. The record is from RNAcentral.